CAGUUUUAUUCAUUUUCAGAUUCACUCAUGAGUGAUGAUAAUAGAUAUUUAGGUAUUUACAAUAAAAAUAAAUAAAUUGUCUACUCGAGUGCCUGCAACGUAAAAUAUCAAUUGUGACUCACUCUUAUAAACACAACUAUUUCUAAACAUUUGCCAAAUAUAUGCUUAGUCUUCACCCAUACUGUUCAAUCAAAUUAUUCUGAAAACCCAGAGUUACAUUUUGAAAGACUGAAUUAAUAUCCCAAGGCAACAGCACUAAAAAUGCCAAAAUCAAAUGAAUUCCAGGGAACAUACAUUUACUAAAAGUCUCUUUCAGAGUGGGGGAAAAAUUACAUAGCAGUAAGGAGAGCUAAUACGGAAGAUCAAUAGGGAAGGUCGCCUUCAGGUAGAUCCCAAUUAUCAUCCUCCUCUUCCUUCUUGUUCUUGGGCGUCUCUUGUCUAUCCUGAGUGAAGUUUCUUGAUUGAGGGCGUCUGUUGUAGUGAAAGUAACAUUAUCAUUGAAGAAUACGAUACGAGUAUGAUAACUUUCCAAUGUAUCCAUUUGCUUUUAUUCAGCCAAAAAAUUUAAAAAUAAAAAAUAAAAAAAAUCAUCACAAUUGUGUACCAUGGCUAAUAUAAGCAUGAAAAACUAUAAACAAUAGAUGUCCGCCCUCUAAUAUAUCCCCAAUCUACCUCAAGGGUCUUAGAAACGAAAAGAAACUCAAGCUAACAUAUUACUAUCACAGAGCAUUUGGAUAUCAAAGAAAAAUGGCCUUGGGCUGUCCAAAAUCUGCUCGAAAAAGCUAGAUCAUUAUGAAGCAAAAUGGAGAUCACAUUUUGGAGGGAAGAGACAGUCACUUCAGAUUGCAUGCCUAGUGCUGGUUGUCUUGAAAAGUGCUAAAAGUCCCAAAGCAAGCUGAUUUGAAGGAGAAAUUUGGGUCAUCCUCAAGCUAGACAAGUUGGGUGUACCUAACAUAGGAAGCAAAGUAGAGGAGUUUUAUGGGGUUGUGUGAGCUGAGUGAGUGUUUGUAAUUCCUAAUCUAUGUAUCCCUCGAAUUUCUUUCCUUUACCUUUUAAUCCACUACGAAGAUGGUCUAGUUAUGGAUUUGCUGACUCUUGGCAAUGGCAGUACUACUUUGACGUCUAGAUCUUUAUGAGAAAAACCUCUCACUCACUUUCUCCAUUGUAAAUGCAAUUCCGGAGGUAAGAUGGCCAUGUCACCAUCCAAAUUUUUUGUCCGACACUAAACUUUAUGCUAACAAACCAACUAUCCAUCAGAAAAAAGUGCAAUGUAAUUUGAAAAGAGUGAAAGAAAAAGGGUAUCUUCUCCUUUCAGAGGGGAUUUUCAAAACUUCUCUUCAAGAAGUAAAGCAAUCCAAUUGCAAAUUGUCGAUUUGGUUUCCAUGUCUUGAAUAAUUUAGAAUGGCAGAAGCAAACAAUCCAACUGCAAUUGUUGAUUGUGUUGUAUAAUUUUGAAAGGCAACAUCCCAUAAGUAUUCAUUUUUACUUUUUGAUUUAUUCAAGAGUAAUAUUAUUUAGUUUGACACUACUAAUGCUAAGUAACAUUAACAUUAUUCUUUAUACGAAGAUAACUUGAGUCCACCACCAUAUUGUUUUUGGUCAUUGUUAGUCUCCAACAUUAAUUCUUCCUUAUUAUUGUUCUUUCUUUCUUCCUGAAUUGUCUAUUGUUGAGGUUCAUCAUUUUUCAACUAUCUCUUAUUGUCAAAACUAUCCCGUAUCCUGCAAUGCAGUUUUAUUCAUUUUCAGAUUCACUCAUGAGUGAUGAUAAUAGAUAUUUAGAUAUUUACAAUAAAAAUAAAUAAAUUGUCUACUCGAGUGCCUGCAACGUAAAAUAUCAAUUGUGACUCAUUCUUAUAAACACAACUAUUUCUAAACAUUUGCCAAAUAUAUGCUUAGUCUUCACCCAUACUGUUCAAUCAAAUUAUUCUGAAAACCCAGAGUUACAUUUUGAAAGACGGAAUUAAUAGCCCAAGGCAACAGCACUAAAAAUGCCAAAAUCAAAUGAAUUCCAGGGAACAUACAUUUACUAAAAGUCUCUUUCAGAGUGGGGGAAAAAUUACAUAGCAGUAAGGAGAGCUAAUACGGAAGAUCAAUAGGGAAGGUCGCCUUCAGGUAGAUCCCAAUUAUCAUCCUCCUCUUCCUUCUUGUUCUUGGGCGUCUCUUGUCUAUCCUGAGUGAAGUUUCUUGAUUGAGGGCGUCUGUUGUAGUGAAAGUAACAUUAUCAUUGAAGAAUACGAUACGAGUAUGAUAACUUUCCAAUGUAUCCAUUUGCUUUUAUUCAGCCAAAAAAUUUAAAAAUAAAAAAUAAAAAAAAUCAUCACAAUUGUGUACCAUGGCUAAUAUAAGCAUGAAAAACUAUAAACAAUAGAUGUCCGCCCUCUAAUAUAUCCCCAA
Molecule: long non-coding RNA, 2394 nt
Filed under: Olea europaea (common olive)
Lineage: Eukaryota; Viridiplantae; Streptophyta; Magnoliopsida; Lamiales; Oleaceae
Description: long non-coding RNA (OEUR_LNC006858)
Source: RNAcentral